CUCCUUCGGGAGCGAAGCAAUUGGAAGUGGUUCCAAGAAAAGCCUCUAAGCUUCAGUCUAACGAUGACCGUACCGCAAACCGACACAGGUGGGCGAGAUGAGUAUUCUAAGGCGCUUGAGAGAACUCGGGAGAAGGAACUCGGCAAAUUGGUACCGUAACUUCGGGAUAAGGUACGCCCUUGUAGCUUGACUGGCCUGCGCCAGGAGGGUGAAGGGGUUGCAAUAAACUGGUGGCUGCGACUGUUUAAUAAAAACACAGCACUCUGCAAACACGAAAGUGGACGUAUAGGGUGUGACGCCUGCCCGGUGCCGGAAGAUUAAAUGAUGGGGUGCAAGCUCUUGAUUGAAGUCCCGGUAAACGGCGGCCGUAACUAUAACGGUCCUAAGGUAGCGAAAUUCCUUGUCGGGUAAGUUCCGACCUGCACGAAUGGCGUAACGAUGGCCACACUGUCUCCUCCCGAGACUCAGCGAAGUUGAAGUGUUUGUGAUGAUGCAAUCUACCCGCGGCUAGACGGAAAGACCCCAUGAACCUUUACUGUAGCUUUGCAUUGGACUUUGAACCGAUCUGUGUAGGAUAGGUGGGAGGCUAUGAAACCGGAACGCUAGUUUCGGUGGAGCCGUCCUUGAAAUACCACCCUGGUUUGUUUGAGGUUCUAACCUUGGCCCGUGAUCCGGGUCGGGGACAGUGCAUGGUAGGCAGUUUGACUGGGGCGGUCUCCUCCCAAAGCGUAACGGAGGAGUACGAAGGUACGCUAGGUACGGUCGGAAAUCGUGCUGAUAGUGCAAUGGCAUAAGCGUGCUUAACUGCGAGACCGACAAGUCGAGCAGGUGCGAAAGCAGGUCAUAGUGAUCCGGUGGUUCUGUAUGGAAGGGCCAUCGCUCAACGGAUAAAAGGUACUCUGGGGAUAACAGGCUGAUACCGCCCAAGAGUUCAUAUCGACGGCGGUGUUUGGCACCUCGAUGUCGGCUCAUCUCAUCCUGGGGCUGUAGCCGGUCCCAAGGGUAUGGCUGUUCGCCAUUUAAAGAGGUACGUGAGCUGGGUUUAAAACGUCGUGAGACAGUUUGGUCCCUAUCUGCCGUGGGCGUUGGAUAUUUGAAGGGGGCUGCUCCUAGUACGAGAGGACCGGAGUGGACGAACCUCUGGUGUACCGGUUGUCACGCCAGUGGCAUCGCCGGGUAGCUAUGUUCGGAAGAGAUAACCGCUGAAAGCAUCUAAGCGGGAAACUCGCCUUAAGAUGAGAUAUCCCUGGGGACUAGAUCCCCUUGAAGGGUCGUUCGAGACCAGGACGUUGAUAGGUCAGGUGUGUAAGCGCAGUAAUGCGUUCAGCUAACUGAUACUAAUUGCCCGUAAGGCUUGAUCCU
RNAcentral lists this ribosomal RNA (1362 nucleotides) under Burkholderia cepacia. Its description in RNAcentral is "partial 23S ribosomal RNA". It matches the Rfam family "Bacterial large subunit ribosomal RNA", at positions 1574 to 2925 of the family's 2925-position model. Lineage: Bacteria; Pseudomonadati; Pseudomonadota; Betaproteobacteria; Burkholderiales; Burkholderiaceae. RNAcentral also lists the same sequence under 1 other name. The record is from RNAcentral.